Molecule: small nuclear RNA, 106 nt
Organism: Cebus imitator (Panamanian white-faced capuchin)
Lineage: Eukaryota; Metazoa; Chordata; Mammalia; Primates; Cebidae
Source: Ensembl
GUUCUCGCUUUGGCAGCAUAUAUACUAAAAUUGGAAUGAUACAGAGAAGAUAGCAUGGCCCCUGAACAAGGAUGAUAUGCAAAUUCACGAAGCAUUUCAUAGUUUU